This 504-nucleotide ribosomal RNA is filed under the name uncultured bacterium. RNAcentral's name for it is "partial 16S ribosomal RNA". It matches the Rfam family "Bacterial small subunit ribosomal RNA", at positions 28 to 523 of the family's 1533-position model. The record is from RNAcentral.
GAUGAACGCUAGCGGCAGGCCUAAUACAUGCAAGUCGAACGGGAUCUGAGGGUAGCUUGCUACCCGAUUUGAGAGUGGCGCACGGGUGCGUAACGCGUGAGCAACCUACCCAUAUCAGGGGGAUAGCCCGAAGAAAUUCGGAUUAACACCGCAUAAUAAUACGCUAACACAUGUUGAUGUAUUUAAAUAUUUAUAGGAUAUGGAUGGGCUCGCGUGACAUUAGCUAGUUGGUAAGGUAACGGCUUACCAAGGCGACGAUGUCUAGGGGCUCUGAGAGGAGAAUCCCCCACACUGGUACUGAGACACGGACCAGACUCCUACGGGAGGCAGCAGUAAGGAAUAUUGGUCAAUGGGCGCAAGCCUGAACCAGCCAUGCCGCGUGCAGGAUGACUGCCCUAUGGGUUGUAAACUGCUUUUGUUAGGGAAUAAACCUUCUUACGUGUAAGGAGCUGAAUGUACCUAAAGAAUAAGGAUCGGCUAACUCCGUGCCAGCCGCCGCCGUAA